This 363-nucleotide ribosomal RNA is filed under the name uncultured bacterium. RNAcentral describes it as "bacterial SSU rRNA". It matches the Rfam family "Bacterial small subunit ribosomal RNA", at positions 1 to 334 of the family's 1533-position model. The record is from RNAcentral.
CUAUGCGCCUUGCCAGCCCGCUCAGUCAGAGUUUGAUCCUGGCUCAGGACGAACGCUGGCGGCAUGCCUAAUACAUGCAAGUCGAGCGGAAGUUGAAGAGCUUGCUCUUCAACUUUAGCGGCGGACGGGUGAGUAACACGUGGGCAACCUGCCCUGCAGAUCGGGAUAACUCCGGGAAACCGGUGCUAAUACCGAAUAGUUUAUAACCUCCCCUGAGGUUGUACGGAAAGACGGUUUCGGCUGUCACUGCAGGAUGGGCCCGCGGCGCAUUAGCUAGUUGGUGGGGUAAUGGCCCACCAAGGCGACGAUGCGUAGCCGACCUGAGAGGGUGAUCGGCCACACUAGGACUGAGACACGGCCCAG